CUUGGGAGAUUAAUUUGGUCUUAUAUCUUGCUAAUUUGCUAACUCAAUUUGGUAAGCAAUUGGGUUAGGUUGUUCCACCUGGAAGCAACCAAAAAAGGGAUUCCACUUUUUAAGUUAACACCAAAUUACAAGAGUCCUCUUGGAUGAGGACUCUUGGUGCAAAGAAGAGAACUUGUGCGCGUGUUGGCAUGAGUAGAAGGAAGAGUCCUUCUGGCUUGGGAUUCAGAUACGUGUGGUAGCCUAC
Molecule: long non-coding RNA, 244 nt
Filed under: Elaeis guineensis (African oil palm)
Lineage: Eukaryota; Viridiplantae; Streptophyta; Magnoliopsida; Arecales; Arecaceae
Description: long non-coding RNA (EGUI_LNC053608)
Source: RNAcentral